RNAcentral lists this ribosomal RNA (671 nucleotides) under Enterobacter sp. 6hN44. RNAcentral describes it as "bacterial SSU rRNA". It matches the Rfam family "Bacterial small subunit ribosomal RNA", at positions 61 to 723 of the family's 1533-position model. Lineage: Bacteria; Pseudomonadati; Pseudomonadota; Gammaproteobacteria; Enterobacterales; Enterobacteriaceae. The record is from RNAcentral.
GUCGAGCGGUAGCACAGAGAGCUUGCUCUCGGGUGACGAGCGGCGGACGGGUGAGUAAUGUCUGGGAAACUGCCUGAUGGAGGGGGAUAACUACUGGAAACGGUAGCUAAUACCGCAUAACGUCGCAAGACCAAAGAGGGGGACCUUCGGGCCUCUUGCCAUCAGAUGUGCCCAGAUGGGAUUAGCUAGUAGGUGGGGUAACGGCUCACCUAGGCGACGAUCCCUAGCUGGUCUGAGAGGAUGACCAGCCACACUGGAACUGAGACACGGUCCAGACUCCUACGGGAGGCAGCAGUGGGGAAUAUUGCACAAUGGGCGCAAGCCUGAUGCAGCCAUGCCGCGUGUAUGAAGAAGGCCUUCGGGUUGUAAAGUACUUUCAGCGAGGAGGAAGGCAUUAAGGUUAAUAACCUCAGUGAUUGACGUUACUCGCAGAAGAAGCACCGGCUAACUCCGUGCCAGCAGCCGCGGUAAUACGGAGGGUGCAAGCGUUAAUCGGAAUUACUGGGCGUAAAGCGCACGCAGGCGGUCUGUCAAGUCGGAUGUGAAAUCCCCGGGCUCAACCUGGGAACUGCAUUCGAAACUGGCAGGCUAGAGUCUUGUAGAGGGGGGUAGAAUUCCAGGUGUAGCGGUGAAAUGCGUAGAGAUCUGGAGGAAUACCGGUGGCGAAAGCG